This 305-nucleotide ribosomal RNA is filed under the name uncultured bacterium. Its description in RNAcentral is "bacterial SSU rRNA". It matches the Rfam family "Bacterial small subunit ribosomal RNA", at positions 333 to 636 of the family's 1533-position model. The record is from RNAcentral.
GAACCCCUACGGGACGCAGCAGUGAGGAAUAUUGGUCAAUGGCCGAGAGGCUGAACCAGCCAAGUCGCGUGAGGGAAGACGGCCCUACGGGUUGUAAACCUCUUUUGUCGGGGAGCAAAGCGAGUCACGUGUGACUCAUUGAGAGUACCCGAAGAAAAAGCAUCGGCUAACUCCGUGCCAGCAGCCGCGGUAAUACGGAGGAUGCGAGCGUUAUCCGGAUUUAUUGGGUUUAAAGGGUGCGCAGGCGGAGGGGCAAGUCAGCGGUCAAAUUGCGGGGCUCAACCCCGUACUGCCGUUGAAACUGC